AUGAUUGCGGGCCGUAAGGUCUGAGGAAAGUCCGAGCUUCGCAGGGCAGGAUGCCGGAUAACGUCCGGCGGGGGCGACCCCAGGGAAAGUGCCAUAGAAAAGGAGACCGCCGCGCAAGCGGUAAGGGUGGAAAGGUGCGGUAAGAGCGCACCAGCAGUCAGGUAACUGGCUGGCUUGGUAAACCCCAUCUGAAGCAAGGCCGAAUAGGGAAGGGUUGAGGUUGCCCGCUGACCUUCCGGGUUGUUGCCGCUUGAACAGGAGAGUAAUUUUCUGUCUAGAUAGAUAAUCAUCGCCACCUUGGUGGAACAGAACUCGGCUUAUUGACUG
This 327-nucleotide RNase P RNA is filed under the name human gut metagenome. RNAcentral describes it as "Bacterial RNase P class A". It matches the Rfam family "Bacterial RNase P class A". From Rfam's summary of the family: Ribonuclease P (RNase P) is a ubiquitous endoribonuclease, found in archaea, bacteria and eukarya as well as chloroplasts and mitochondria. Its best characterised activity is the generation of mature 5'-ends of tRNAs by cleaving the 5'-leader elements of precursor-tRNAs. The record is from RNAcentral.